AAACUUGAGAGUUUGAUCAUGGCUCAGAACGUACGCUGGCGGCACGCCUUAUACAUGCAAGUCGAACGAAGUAGCAAUACUUAGUGGCAGACGGGUGAGUAACAUGUGGGUAUCUUCCCUUUGGUGAGGAAUAACACGAGGAAACUUGU
RNAcentral lists this ribosomal RNA (149 nucleotides) under Candidatus Pelagibacteraceae bacterium. RNAcentral's name for it is "partial 16S ribosomal RNA". It matches the Rfam family "Bacterial small subunit ribosomal RNA", at positions 1 to 161 of the family's 1533-position model. The record is from RNAcentral. Lineage: Bacteria; Pseudomonadati; Pseudomonadota; Alphaproteobacteria; Candidatus Pelagibacterales; Candidatus Pelagibacteraceae.